Molecule: small RNA, 32 nt
Filed under: Bombyx mori (domestic silkworm)
Lineage: Eukaryota; Metazoa; Arthropoda; Insecta; Lepidoptera; Bombycidae
Description: ovarian small RNA-5238
Source: RNAcentral
GCACCUUGAAAAUGUCGGGCCAAAUCUGGCCG